GAUGAACGCUGGCGGCGUGCCUAACACAUGCAAGUCGAGCGCGAUUAAGUGGAGUGGAGACUUCGGUCAAAGCGAAGCUUAUGAAAGCGGCGGACGGGUGAGUAACGCGUGGGCAACCUGCCCCAUACAGAGGGAUAGCCACUGGAAACGGUGAUUAAUACCUCAUGAGUCAGUAACAUCGCAUGAUGUAGCUGACAAAGAUUUAUCGGUAUGGGAUGGGCCCGCGUCUGAUUAGCUAGUUGGUGAGGUAACGGCUCACCAAGGCGACGAUCAGUAGCCGACCUGAGAGGGUGAUCGGCCACACUGGAACUGAGACACGGUCCAGACUCCUACGGGAGGCAGCAGUGGGGAAUAUUGCACAAUGGGCGCAAGCCUGAUGCAGCAACGCCGCGUGAGUGAUGAAGGCCUCGG
RNAcentral lists this ribosomal RNA (411 nucleotides) under uncultured bacterium. RNAcentral's name for it is "bacterial SSU rRNA". It matches the Rfam family "Bacterial small subunit ribosomal RNA", at positions 28 to 420 of the family's 1533-position model. The record is from RNAcentral.